GACCCUUCGGGGAGCCUAUACAGGUGUUGCAUGGCUGUCGUCAGCUCGUGUCGUGAGAUGUUCGGUUAAGUCCGCUAACGAGCGCAACCCUCGUCGUAUGUUAUAUGUGUCAUACGAGACUGCCGGUAAAAAGCCGGAGGAAGGUGAGGAUGAUGUCAAGUCAGCAUGACCUUUAUAUCCAGGGCUACACACACGCUACAAUGGUCUGUACAAUGGGUAGCCAAGCCGCGAGGCGGAGCCAAUCCUGAAAGCAGGCCUCAGUUCAGAUUGCAGUCUGCAACUCGACUGCAUGAAGCCGGAGUUGCUAGUAACCGCAGGUCAGCAAUACUGCGGUGAAUACGUUCCCGGGUCUU
Molecule: ribosomal RNA, 353 nt
Filed under: uncultured Anaerolineaceae bacterium
Lineage: Bacteria; Bacillati; Chloroflexota; Anaerolineae; Anaerolineales; Anaerolineaceae
Description: bacterial SSU rRNA
Rfam family: Bacterial small subunit ribosomal RNA
Source: RNAcentral